RNAcentral lists this ribosomal RNA (239 nucleotides) under uncultured bacterium. RNAcentral's name for it is "partial 16S ribosomal RNA". It matches the Rfam family "Bacterial small subunit ribosomal RNA", at positions 15 to 236 of the family's 1533-position model. The record is from RNAcentral.
GAUCAUGGCUUAGGAUGAACGCUGGCGGCGUGCUUAACACAUGCAAGUCGAACGAAGCACUUUAACCUGAUUCUUCGGAUGAAGGUUUUUGUGACUGAGUGGCGGACGGGUGAGUAACGCGUGGGUAACCUGCCUCAUACAGGGGGAUAACAGUUAGAAAUGACUGCUAAUACCGCAUAAGACCACGGAGUCGCAUGGCUCAGUGGGAAAAACUCCGGUGGUAUGAGAUGGACCCGCGU